RNAcentral lists this ribosomal RNA (442 nucleotides) under uncultured bacterium. Its description in RNAcentral is "partial 16S ribosomal RNA". It matches the Rfam family "Bacterial small subunit ribosomal RNA", at positions 338 to 795 of the family's 1533-position model. The record is from RNAcentral.
CCUACGGGAGGCAGCAGUGGGGGAUAUUGCACAAUGGGGGAAACCCUGAUGCAGCGACGCCGCGUGAACGAAGAAGUCUUUCCGUAUGUAAAGCCCUAUCUGCAGGGAAGAAGAAUUGACGAUACCUGCGUAAGUAUCACCGGCUAAUUCCGUGCCAUCAGCCGCGGUAAUACGUAUGGUGCAGGCGUUAUCCGGAUUUAGUGGGUGUAACGGGAGCGUAGGCGGGAUGGCAAGCCUGUUGUGAAAGUUUGCGGCGCAACCGCAGAAUUGCAUUGGAAACUACCAGGCUGGAGUACAGGUGAGGUAGGCGGAAUUCGUGGUGUAGCGGUGAAAUGCGUAGAUAUCACGAAGAACACCAGUGGCGAAGGCAGCCUACUAAACGGCGACUGACACUGAGGCUCGAAAGUGUGGGUAGCAAACAGGAUUAGAUACCCGUGUAGUC